CACCGACCUUUACCACCAAUGCGCAGCCGCAAGUUCGACUGUCGAUUCGGAGCGCAGCGUCGGCUCCAGUGAGCUGCCACAGCAGAGUGCGCAGCUAGAAGCAGCGCAACGCAACGCAGCAGAAUUCAACACAAAUCAGCUCGGCGCAGCGCAUUGCAGCCAAACGCAAACCGGCGCAGCCCAACGCAAACCGGCGCAGCUCUGCGCAGAGUAAGGAAGCCCAGCGCCUGCUGAUCGAUAUGAGACUGUGGAGUCUGCGACCGCCGGCCGACGCCAAUGAAGACAUCAAUAAAGGUCACGUUUUUCUCCGAUAUAGAUGGUGAGACGGCAGCCUCGCUCGUGCAAUUCCAUCCCGGCGAGCUCCCGUUCUUCACAAACUGAAGCAGAACCUCAAGCAAGAUGCGAGCAUCCCCGACGGACACGGAGACAUAAUCCCAUGACCAGUUCUUGGCACACGGGGGAGCCGUUUGCCAGCCAUGCCAGGCACCCACGAAAUGCCAAGGGGCACACCUCAUUCUGCUUGGAUCUGUGGGAUGGGGGGGAUUGUUAACAACCGGGGUAAAGAAUACACCUACUGUUAUGGCAUUUCAACACAGAAUAAUUGACAGCGAUCUCCGAGAAACAAACAGAUAAACACGGUCAAAAGGUAGACUGUCUGAAAACAUUGUUUAUGUUAGCAAUUGUCCCUAAAUGUGUGUUUAAAAGGAGGAUUGUUUGUAGUGAUUUGGUCCUAAUUUAAUUUGUUUACCAUGAUUCAAUAUUGUGGAAAUAAAAAGGCAUACGUGAAAGUCA
Molecule: long non-coding RNA, 792 nt
Organism: Brienomyrus brachyistius
Lineage: Eukaryota; Metazoa; Chordata; Actinopteri; Osteoglossiformes; Mormyridae
Exons: 3
Source: RefSeq, a predicted model, not a curated record